GAGCAAACAGGAUUAGAUACCUGGUAGUCCACGCUGUAAACGAUGUCGAUUUGGAGUUUGGGGGCAUGACCCUUGGGCUCCGGAGCUAACGCGUUAAAUCGACCGCUGGGGAGUACGGCCGCAAGGUUAAAACUCAAAUGAAUUGACGGGGGCCCGCACAAGCGGUGGAGCAUGUGGUUUAAUUCGAUGCAACGCGAAGAACCUUACCUGGUCUUGACAUCCAUAGAAUCUUUCAGAGAUGAGAGAGUGCCUUCGGGAGCUAUGAGACAGGUGCUGCAUGGCUGUCGUCAGCUCGUGUUGUGAAAUGUUGGGUUAAGUCCCGCAACGAGCGCAACCCCUAUCCUUUGUUGCCAGCACGUAAUGGUGGGAACUCAAAGGAGACUGCCGUUGAUAAAGCGGAGGAAGGUGGGGACGACGUCAAGUCAUCAUGGCCCUUACGACCAGGGCUACACACGUGCUACAAUGGCGUAUACAAAGGGAUGCGAAGGUGCGAACUGGAGCGGACCUCACAAAGUACGUCUAAGUCCGGAUUGGAGUCUGCAACUCGACUCCAUGAAGUCGGAAUCGCUAGUAAUCGUGAAUCAGAAUGUCACGGUGAAUACGUUCCCGGGCCUUGUACACACCGUCCGUCACACCAUGGGAGUGGGUUGCACCAGAAGUAGAUAGCUUAACCUUCGGGAGGGCGUUUACCACGGUGUGGUUCAUGACUGGGGUGAAGUCGUAACAAGGUAACCA
This 735-nucleotide ribosomal RNA is filed under the name uncultured Enterobacteriaceae bacterium. RNAcentral describes it as "bacterial SSU rRNA". It matches the Rfam family "Bacterial small subunit ribosomal RNA", at positions 766 to 1502 of the family's 1533-position model. The record is from RNAcentral. Lineage: Bacteria; Pseudomonadati; Pseudomonadota; Gammaproteobacteria; Enterobacterales; Enterobacteriaceae.